Molecule: small nuclear RNA, 312 nt
Filed under: Microtus ochrogaster (prairie vole)
Lineage: Eukaryota; Metazoa; Chordata; Mammalia; Rodentia; Cricetidae
Description: 7SK RNA (ENSMOCG00000011892.1)
Rfam family: 7SK RNA
About the family: 7SK was discovered as an abundant small nuclear RNA in the mid-70s but a possible function has only recently been suggested. Two independent studies have found that 7SK RNA binds the CDK9/cyclin T complex (known as elongation factor P-TEFb). P-TEFb activates transcription by phosphorylating the C-terminal domain of RNA polymerase II.
Source: RNAcentral
UGAUUUGUGGGCAAUCUUGCUGAGUUAUCUGUUACCCCACUAAUUGCCACGUUGAUUUGGCUAAACUGGCUGACUAGGCAGAUGUCCCCUUCCUCAAUCACUGCUCCGUGUGCAUCCCUCCCGAAGCUGUACUCUGGGUCCAAGAGGACAAUCUUCCCCAAAUAGAGGAGGACCAGUCUUCGGUUAAGGGUGUAUAAGUAACUGCUUCUCUGCUAGAACCUCCAAAUAAUCUCUAAUUGUUGAAGCUGUAUACUUUUAAUUGUUUUCCUCAUGAAACAAUGUAUUGAACUGUAGGUGAGCAUUCAUUAUCAU